UGGGGGAUAUUGCACAAUGGGCGAAAGCCUGAUGCAGCGACGCCGCGUGGGGGAUGAAGGCCUUCGGGUUGUAAACUUCUUUUGCUCUGAACAAGGCAUGCUAAUGGGUGUGUUGAGUGUAGGGGUUGAUUAGCGCCGGCUAACUACGUGCCAGCAGCCGCGGUAAUACGUAGGGCGCGAGCGUUGUCCGGAAUUAUCGGGCGUAAAGGGCUUGUAGGUGGCUGGUUGCGUCUGUCGUGAAAGCUCAUGGCUUAACUGUGGGUUUGCGGUGGGUACGGGCUGGCUUGAGUGCAGUAGGGGAGGCUGGAAUUCCUGGUGUAGCGGUGGAAUGUGCAGAUAUCAGGAGGAAUACCGGUGGCGAAGGCGGGUCUCUGGGCUGUUACUGACACUGAGGAGCGAAAGCAUGGGGAGCGAACAGG
RNAcentral lists this ribosomal RNA (419 nucleotides) under bacterium. RNAcentral's name for it is "partial 16S ribosomal RNA". It matches the Rfam family "Bacterial small subunit ribosomal RNA", at positions 355 to 776 of the family's 1533-position model. The record is from RNAcentral.